GAAAUUUUUUUAUAUUUUAUCCUAAUAACAAUAUUAUUAAGGAAAAACUUUAAAUACUACCCAUAUGGUUUCGCACUUUCUCACUUUAGUAUCAUGUUGUUUAAAGUGUAUCAAGUUAGUGUCCGGUGGUUUUAUUUUUCUUUUUUUAUUAUCUAUUAAACUAAUUUUUUUUCAUUAAAUCAGUGACAAAGUUAAAACUAAAGAAUACUAAAAUGAAUAUCGAUAAACCUAGGUAGGGUAUCUGAAGUUUUUUGUAUAUAAUUUAACGAAAUAUUAACGGAGGAGCUGACGAAAGAAAAAAAAAAAAAAACCAUAAGAUACUAACUUAUUGCACUUUAAACUACAUGAUACUAAAGUGAGAAAAAUGUAAAACCAUAAGAGCCGUAUUUGAAGUUUAUCCAUAUAUUAAAUUUGCUG
This 417-nucleotide long non-coding RNA is filed under the name Ananas comosus (pineapple). RNAcentral describes it as "long non-coding RNA (ACOM_LNC028857)". The record is from RNAcentral. Lineage: Eukaryota; Viridiplantae; Streptophyta; Magnoliopsida; Poales; Bromeliaceae.